This is a long non-coding RNA of Pygocentrus nattereri (red-bellied piranha), 1670 nucleotides long. RefSeq lists it as uncharacterized. The record is from RefSeq and is a predicted model, not a curated record. The transcript has 4 exons. NCBI's taxonomy places the organism in Eukaryota, Metazoa, Chordata, Actinopteri, Characiformes, Serrasalmidae.
GUCCUGCUGCCCUGAAUUACAGGAACACAUCUGGCUGUUCAUGAGAACAAAUGGAGUGUGGGAAUUCUGGCUUCUGUGAUUUAGGUCAACUCUACCAGAGUCACCCCAAGUGUGUGAAGGGUUGCAUUGGAGUGUAUUAUCCUGCUGAAAGAGGCCUCUGCCAUCUGGAAAUAUCAUUGCUGGUAAGCAGUGUACCUGGUCCACAACGAUGUUAAGGUGGCAUGUGUCAAACUGACAUCCAUGUGAAAUUCCUGACCAAGAAUUUCCCAGCAGAACACUGCCCAGAGCAUCACACUCCUUCUACCAGUUUGUCUUCUCCCCACAGUGUAUCCUGGUGCCAUCACUUCCCCAGAUAAUGCCACACAUGUACACUGCGAUCCAUGUGGUGUAAAUGAAAGUGGAACAGUGGGUUGAUUUAUUGUGAUGACAGCUUUUCCAUUACUGGCAUGGCAUGGUGCACAGGGUGUUCUUACACUGGGCAGGAGCAGGAACCCAAAAGGGAAAUGAAUGGUACUCCAGUCGCCAGUGCUUCAGCCUGACUCCUGCUGUACAGUACACUGAACAAUGGAACCCAUCUGUGGCAUACUCUCCUAAAGAAUACACGGAUAUGAUGUAUAAGAGCAAAGAGGAUGGCUAAUGCUUUCAUUAGGAUGGAACACAUGCAGAGGCAGCACUGCUUAUGCAACACAUGAAUUUUAGACAACACACCACACCUCCAUGAAGAAAUCCAGUAUGUCAUUUAGCUACGACUUGCAGCAGGUUUUAUCACACCCUCGGAUCUAGUUCACGCAGAAAGUUAUGCAACACCUUCUUGUUUCCUUAGGAAGGCUGCCAUUCAUGUUGAGAAUCUAUUCUGUUCUUACACGUGCUUCUGUUCUGAUCUUCUCUGGUAGACAAAUGCAAAUACACACAAUACUGUUACCUCACUAAAAAGGGUGGUGAUGACAACGUGGUACUUUUUGCAUAGGAAAGCUAAAAGCAGGUGAAAUUUACUUGAUUUCUGGUCUUCAGCUUGUUGUUUAUGGAAGGAAGAGCCAUAAAACACAAUAGACAUAAGUGCCACUUGAAAACACAUUGUUCUCAUCCUUGGAUUUUUGCAAAAAGUAAAUGUUCCAACUUUUUACAGUGAAGAGCGCUGACAGAGAGCUUUUUUGGGAUGUGUUUAAUGAAUCGCACCUUCUGGACUUGCAUGGACAGGCUGGCCAAAAGAACUGAAGUACACACACAUGAAUCAUUCAACUGAACACACUGAACACACAAAAGUCCAAAACACAUUUUGGACUUUUAACUAAUGUGGUCUUUAGACGAAAAUCCUUUUGCUUUAAAUUGCCCUGAAUGUUAAUUAUGAGCUUCAUUUAUUAAUGGAAAUGAUUAAACAUUCCAUUUUGUUAAUAAUAACAAAUAAUAACACCUCUGAAAUGUUAACAAAUGUUUCAAUUGUAACAAUUUUAUCUAAUAUUGAGCAGAACUCAAAAACCUUAGCUAGCAAGCGAACACAGCUUUGAACAGAAAAAAAUGCUUCAUUUGAUUCAUAUUUGUAAAGGAUUUUACUACAAUAAACGUUACAGCAACACACAUUUCUUCAUUGCUUUUUAUUUCAGCUUACUUAUUUUUGGCACGAGUGGAGUUGAUGUCAUUUAUUUUAUUCAUGUGAAACUGAUGUAUAUAGU